This 306-nucleotide non-coding RNA is filed under the name Triticum aestivum (bread wheat). RNAcentral describes it as "rRNA SSU_rRNA_eukarya". It matches the Rfam family "Eukaryotic small subunit ribosomal RNA", at positions 57 to 370 of the family's 1831-position model. The record is from Rfam by way of RNAcentral. RNAcentral also lists the same sequence under 1 other name. Lineage: Eukaryota; Viridiplantae; Streptophyta; Magnoliopsida; Poales; Poaceae.
GUGCAAGUAGAACCAAUUUGAACUGUGAAACUGCGAAUGGAUCAUUAAAUCAGUUAUAGUUUGUUUCAUGGUACGUGCUACUCGGAUAACCGUAGUAAUUCUAGAGCUAAUAUGUGCAACAAGCCCCGACUUCUGGGAGGGGCGCAUUUAUUAGAUAAAAGGCUGACGCGGGCUCUGCUCGCUGAUAUGAUGAUUCAUGAUAACUCGACGGAUGGCUAUAUUAUUCAAUUUAGUAAGAUACGUCACAAUUUUCAGUUUCAUAACCAUAAAAGGGACUACAUUCAACGAAAGUGAUUAGCUCAGGAU